This 253-nucleotide ribosomal RNA is filed under the name uncultured bacterium. RNAcentral's name for it is "partial 16S ribosomal RNA". It matches the Rfam family "Bacterial small subunit ribosomal RNA", at positions 524 to 776 of the family's 1533-position model. The record is from RNAcentral.
UACAGAGGGGGCAAGCGUUGUUCGGAAUUACUGGGCGUAAAGGGCUCGUAGGCGGCCAACUAAGUCAGACGUGAAAUCCCCAGGCUCAACCUGGGAACUGCGUCUGAUACUGGAUGGCUUGAAUUCGGGAGAGGGAUGCAGAAUUCCAGGUGUAGCGGUGAAAUGCGUAGAUAUCUGGAGGAAUACCGGUGGCGAAGGCGGCAUCCUGGACCGACAUUGACGCUGAGGAGCGAAAGCUAGGGGAGCAAACGGG